UGACCUGAGAGCAGGCAAGGUUACCCGCUGAAUUUAAGCAUA
This 42-nucleotide ribosomal RNA is filed under the name Sinergasilus polycolpus. RNAcentral describes it as "partial 28S ribosomal RNA". The record is from RNAcentral. RNAcentral also lists the same sequence under 2 other names. Lineage: Eukaryota; Metazoa; Arthropoda; Copepoda; Poecilostomatoida; Ergasilidae.